Molecule: non-coding RNA, 368 nt
Organism: Pelobates cultripes (western spadefoot toad)
Lineage: Eukaryota; Metazoa; Chordata; Amphibia; Anura; Pelobatidae
Source: the annotation of a GenBank genome assembly
GACGCGGAAGGUAUUAAACUGAUAAAAAUAGUACUAAACACUCCACUCCUAUCUGGUGUCACAUUAGCUUGACCGCGCAGUGCCCUAAAUUUGCAGUAAGAGGACCGACCAAGGCUCUUCUUCCAUCUCCCUGUUACAAAAAUCAAUGCCGUGUACACGACCACUGAUAGGAGACGUGGAAGGUAUUAAACUGAUCAGAACAAUACUAAACACACCACUCCUAUCUGGUGGCACAUUAGCUUGACCGCGCAGUGCCCCAAAUUUGCAGUAAGAGGACCGACCAAGGCUCUUCUUCCAUCUCCCUGUUACAAAAAUCAAUGCCGUGUACACGCCCACUGAUAGGAGACGCGGAAGGUAUUAAACUGAUC